This 434-nucleotide ribosomal RNA is filed under the name Ochromonas sp. CCMP1393. RNAcentral describes it as "partial Eukaryotic large subunit ribosomal RNA". It matches the Rfam family "Eukaryotic large subunit ribosomal RNA", at positions 1 to 433 of the family's 3401-position model. Lineage: Eukaryota; Chrysophyceae; Chromulinales; Chromulinaceae. The record is from RNAcentral.
GACCUCGGAUCAGGCGGGGCUACCCGCUGAACUUAAGCAUAUCAAUAAGCGGAGGAAAAGAAACCAACAGGGAUUGCUCUAGUAACGGCGAGUGAAGCAGCAAUAGCUCAAAUUUGAAAUCUGGCGUCUUCGACGUCCGAGUUGUAAUUUGUAGAGGAUGCUUCUGAGUGGCCACCGACCUAAGUUCCUUGGAACAGGACGUCAUAGAGGGUGAGAAUCCCGUAUGCGGUCGGAAAGGCGCUCUAUACGUAGCUCCUUCGACGAGUCGAGUUGUUUGGGAAUGCAGCUCAAAGCGGGUGGUAAAUCUCAUCUAAGGCUAAAUACCGGCCAGAGACCGAUAGCGCACAAGUAGAGUGAUCGAAAGAUGAAAAGCACUUUGGAAAGAGAGUCAAACAGCACGUGAAAUUGCUGAAAGGGAAGCGCCCGCGACCAGA